CCUACGGGUGGCAGCAGUGAGGAAUAUUGGUCAAUGGACGAAAGCCUGAACCAGCAAUGCCGCGUGCAGGAAGACGGCGCUAUGAGUUGUAAACUGCUUUUGUACAAGGGUAAACCUGAAUACGUGCAUUCAGCUGAAAGUACGGUACGAACAAGCAUCGGCUAACUCCGUGCCAGCAGCCGCGGUAAUACGGAGGAUCCAAGCGUUAUCCGGAUUUAUUGGGUUUAAAGGGUGCGUAGGCGGAUUGAUAAGUUAGAGGUGAAAUGUCCGGGCUCAACUCGGGAACUGCCUCUAAUACGGUUGAUCUAGAGAGUAGAUGCGGUAGGCGGAAUGUAUGGUGUAGCGGUGAAAUGCUUAAAGAUCAUACAGAACACCGAUUGCGAAGGCAGCUGACCAAUCUAUAUCUGACGUUGAGGCACGAAAGCGUGGGGAGCAAACAGGAUUAGAUACCCUUGUAGUC
This 460-nucleotide ribosomal RNA is filed under the name uncultured bacterium. RNAcentral describes it as "partial 16S ribosomal RNA". It matches the Rfam family "Bacterial small subunit ribosomal RNA", at positions 338 to 795 of the family's 1533-position model. The record is from RNAcentral.